AGUGAACGCUGGCGGUAGGCCUAACACAUGCAAGUCGAACGGCAGCACAGUAAGAGCUUGCGCUUACGGGUGGCGAGUGGCGGACGGGAGAGGAAUACAUCGGAAUCUACUUUUUCGGGGGGGAUAACGUAGGGAAACUUACGCUAAUACCGCAUACGCCCUACGGGUGAAAGCAGGGGAUAGUCGGACCUUGCGCGAUUGAAUGAGCCGAUGUCGGAUUAGCUAGUUGGCGGGGUAAAGGCCUACCAAGUCGACGAUCCGUAGCUGGUCUGAGAGGAUGAUCAGCCACACUGGAACUGAGACACGGUCAAGACUCCUAAGGGAGGGAGCAGUGGGGAAUAUUGGACAAUGGGCGCAAGCAUGGUCCAGCCAUACCGCGUGGGUUGAGAAGGCCUUCGGGUUGUAAAGCCCUUUUGUUGGGAAAGAAAAGCAGCAGGUUAAUACCCCGCUGUUCUGACGGUACCCAAAGAAUAAGCACCGGCUAACUUCGUG
This 492-nucleotide ribosomal RNA is filed under the name uncultured bacterium. Its description in RNAcentral is "partial 16S ribosomal RNA". It matches the Rfam family "Bacterial small subunit ribosomal RNA", at positions 29 to 507 of the family's 1533-position model. The record is from RNAcentral.